This 497-nucleotide ribosomal RNA is filed under the name uncultured bacterium. RNAcentral's name for it is "partial 16S ribosomal RNA". It matches the Rfam family "Bacterial small subunit ribosomal RNA", at positions 28 to 507 of the family's 1533-position model. The record is from RNAcentral.
GAUGAACGCUGGCGGCGUGCCUAAUACAUGCAAGUCGAGCGAACAGACGAGGAGCUUGCUCCUCUGACGUUAGCGGCGGACGGGUGAGUAACACGUGGAUAACCUACCUAUAAGACUGGGAUAACUUCGGGAAACCGGAGCUAAUACCGGAUAAUAUAUUGAACCGCAUGGUUCAAUAGUGAAAGACGGUUUUGCUGUCCCUUAUAGAUGGAUCCGCGCCGCAUUAGCUAGUUGGUAAGGUAACGGCUUACCAAGGCAACGAUGCGUAGCCGACCUGAGAGGGUGAUCGGCCACACUGGAACUGAGACACGGUCCAGACUCCUACGGGAGGCAGCAGUAGGGAAUCUUGCGCAAUGGGCGAAAGCCUGACGGAGCAACGCCGCGUGAGUGAUGAAGGUCUUCGGAUCGUAAAACUCUGUUAUUAGGGAAGAACAAAUGUGUAAGUAACUAUGCACGUCUUGACGGUACCUAAUCAGAAAGCCACGGCUAACUACGUG